GCUGAAGACUGUAUGUGACAGAGAACGAGGGAGGGGGAGGUAACGAAGAACCGAGACACACUGAGCCAGUGUAGCAGGAAUCGGCAAAGAGAUGCCGAGGGUCUUUCCAUGAAAGCGUAAACGUGCUCACGCACGCAUGGGUGAUGAAAGGUUUUUCAGAUGAGCCCAUAUUUUGAGUGACCUGAGAGAAGAGGAGAACAAUUUUCUUGCAUCUCUGUCUGUUUCAUGAGCAGCCAUGCCUGUUCUCUCACCUACCACAGGUUUACAUGAGAUGCUAGCCCUCCUCACUUCCCAGCUUCAUCCAGAUGCUAAUCAUAAAGAGGACAUGGUUUUCCUCAGGGAGGUCUUCAGUGAGAGGAGCCUCAGCUAUCUUAUGAAAAUCCAUGAACGACUCAGGCAGUUCCAGCUCCAGAGCCCGACCCCAGUGCUCCACAGCGCAUCCUGCCUUGCCGAAGAUGUCACAGAGGAGCUACAGAACGGACCACUGGAAGAAGAUGAGAGAGAACUAUUAACACUUCUUACUGCUCCACAUGUGAAGGCAGUUCUAACAGUACAUGACAUAGUGGCGCAGAAGAACUUUGAGCCUGUGCUCCCCCCUUUGCCGGAUGAUCUAGAUGAUGAGCUAGAGGAGGAAUCAGUGAAGAUUGUGCGUUUGGUGAAGAACAAGGAGCCUCUUGGUGCAACCAUCCGCAGAGAUGAAGUAACUGGGGCGGUAGUGGUUGCUAGGAUAAUGAGGGGCGGGGCAGCAGACCGCAGUGGUCUGGUACAUGUUGGAGAUGAGUUGAGGGAGGUCAAUGGAAAUCUAAUUAUACACAAACGUCCUGAGGAGAUCAGCCAGAUUCUGUCUCAGUCUCAGGGCUCGAUCACUUUGAAGAUAAUCCCUGCCAUUAAGGAGGAGGAUAGAUUCAAGGAGAGUAAGGUCUAUUUAAGAGCCCUGUUUGAUUACACACCAUUUGAAGACAAGGCUACACCCUGUCAGGAGGCAGGACUGCCUUUCACACGUGGGGACAUCCUGCAGGUAGUAAGCCAAGAUGACCCAACAUGGUGGCAGGCCAAAAGAGUGGGAGAUAGCAACCUGCGUGCUGGACUCAUUCCUUCAAGACAGUUCCAGGAGAGACGACUAUUGUAUAGGAUGAAAAUGGGGACGAACCAGAGCCCUAAGUCACCCAGAGCAUCACCAUGUGACCAAACUUGUGAAAAAGAGGACUGUGACAGUGAGGGCAGUGUCAGUGGACAGCACAUAGUUUCUCCAAAGUGUAAGGCGGUGGCACCGUCCUGUGGUCAGGCCUUUUCCUGGGAGUUUUACUCAGCUGGUCUAAGGAGAAGCUUCAGACUAAGUCGCAAGGAUCAUCAGGGUUCGACCAAAGAGUCUCGUCCAGCGGAGUCCACAGAGAGUGAGUUUUUCAUAUAUGAAGAGGUGACACUAUAUCAGAUGAGACCCCAAGACAAACCAAGACUUGUGGUGCUGAUAGGAUCUCUUGGUGCUCGAAUCAAUGAGCUGAAGCAGAAGGUGAUUGCUGAGAAUCCUCAUCGGUACGGUGUUGCUGUGCCACACACAACAAGACCCAGGAAGAGCCAUGAGAAGGAAGGUGUAGAAUACCACUUCAUCUCCAAGCAAGCCUUUGAGGCUGACAUCCAAUCGAAUAAGUUUAUUGAACAUGGUGAAUAUAAGAAUAACCAAUAUGGGACAAGUCUGGAGUCAAUCCGGAGUGUCCUGGCGAGAAGUAAAGUGUGCCUAGUAGAUGUUCAACCUGAGGCUCUGAAAAUUCUCCGUACAGCAGAGUUUAAGCCCUAUGUGAUUUUUAUAAGGCCACGCAUCCCUGAGAUUUGUCGGCAACGUAGCUCUCCCACAUCACCAGGAAGGGGUGACAAUGGACACAUCACAGAUGAAGACCUGCAGGACAUGAGACACUCUGCCGAGCAGAUGGACCAGCAAUAUGGCCACCUAGUGGACAGGGUACUGGUAAAGGAAGACUCUGCCAGUGCCUGUGUAGAGCUGAGGAAUAUUCUGGAACGACUCGAGAGAGAGCCGCAGUGGGUGCCUGUCAGCUGGGUCCGCUCUUGAUCCUCCCUCCUUCCUUAAAUUCAAAUGCUCACAUAUGGUUUAAUGAAAACAUGUAUUGAACCUCUCUGCCUCUUUCUCACUCUGCUGCCAGUUUCCGUUUCAUCCUGUUCGACUGAAGUAAUACAAAAGCAAAAUACAAAUGUCAGCUGACUUGUUGAAACUGGGUCUGUUGUACUGCAAUAGUGUUGAAGAUUUCUGUUCAAAAGACUUUGCAUGAAAGUAGCAUUGACAAGAAGAAAUGUAUCAUUAAUAGCUGAAAGAAUUAGUUUUCUGUGGAAAAAAAUGGUUGUCCUUAGUUCUGUCGAGUGAGCUGCAAAAAAAAAAAAAACAUCAGAUGAGGAAAGGAUCACUUGAAUGAGAGGACAAACACUGACUCAGGUUCCCUUUCAGUCGGUCACAUGCGACGUUACAAAUGGGAUCUCGCCCGAGAGCCCAAUCACCUUCGAGUGGUACAAAGGUAUAUAGCGGGUAUAAAAGGAGCAGCCCGAGCAACUCGCAAUUUCGCUUCGGAGCCAAGCACAUCGCUUGCUGCUUUCACCCGUGUGUUUCAAGCAAGAGUCACUGGUGUUGGUGUGACGGCACGAUUCAGCGGCUCGUCUGGGUUUCCUGCGACAGCUCCCGCAUUCCCCUGAGUGCUUCAACACCUCUGAAAGAGCUACUUCCUUUCACAAAAGAGUACAGGCUGAUUUGCGUCUUUUUAAAGAUGUCAUUUCGCCCGUGUGUUUCUGGGUGCGGUCGAUACAUCGCUCCUCGUGAUGGCCACGAUUGCUGUACUGCAUUUAUGGAUGGCUCAUGUUCUCAUUGCGGGGACAUGACCAUCUCGGCAUUCAGAUUGAGACUCAGUUACCUUAAAAGGUAUAGAGUCCCCUCUGCCACACCCUGUUCUAGCUCUUCUUCUCGUAAGAGGGCUACUUCGGCUGGUGGCCAGGGUGAUCUGAGGGUUACCGUGUGUGCUUCCCCGACGAGCCAACCUCCUCAGGCCACACCCCCCUCACAUACGGCACAGCCGGUUGAGUUUCCGGAUGAGUUUGCUGGACCCUCUCAGGCUCAUGACAUCUCAUUUGGGGCUCGUGAAGAGGACCGUAAGUCGAUCGCCGCAUCACAAGGCGGGCUUGAGUCCUCAGCAGAUGAG
Molecule: RNA transcript, 3197 nt
Organism: Carassius carassius (crucian carp)
Lineage: Eukaryota; Metazoa; Chordata; Actinopteri; Cypriniformes; Cyprinidae
Gene: mpp3b
Gene name: MAGUK p55 scaffold protein 3b
Exons: 21
Source: RefSeq, a predicted model, not a curated record